AUAAGUGAAAUCCUUGGAGUAUACGAUGAGGGAAACUUUAGCUUCUUCAAUGCUUGGACAAACCUGGUUAUAUUAAACAUUUUGUCACAACUGUUUGCUGUGUAUUGCGUGGCUGCUGUUUUACAAAGUUCUAAAGGAAAAGUGUAGCCCUAUACAACCUGUUGGCAAGUUUCUCUGUGUGAAACUUGUGGUUUUUGUUUCCCUUUUGCAAGCAGUACUUAUUACAUUGUUGGUUAAAGUGGGCGUUAUUUCAGAAAAGCAUACCUGGUUAUGGCAAAGUGCUGAAGCUGUGGCCAUAGGCCUGCAGGGUUUCGUAAUAUGCAUUGAAAUGUUCUUUGUGGCAAUUGCCCAUCACUAUACGUUCUCU
Molecule: long non-coding RNA, 367 nt
Filed under: Mus musculus (house mouse)
Lineage: Eukaryota; Metazoa; Chordata; Mammalia; Rodentia; Muridae
Description: long non-coding RNA chrX:146068807-146069174
Source: RNAcentral